ACCAAUUUGAUAGGUUUAUCCCCACAUUACCCUUCCUUAUUCUAGAAUUGGCGCUCAUUAUUACUCAACAGGGAGUACUUUGAAAAGAAACAAAUUCCAAAAAAAAUAGCUCAACUCGUUAGAAAGAAAUGGAGUAAUUUGAAAAGGGCACGCUCCAAAAGAUUUAGCACAGCUCAGUAGAAACAAGAAAGAAAUGGAUAUUGGAGUUAUGGGUUUCAUUCCCAUGGGUCUACUCUUGCUGUCUCUCAUGGCUUUUUCCUAUCCAGGUGCUUAUUAUGGUGCCCAUACCAAUAUUGCGAUUAGGUGGGAUAUUAUGAGCUGGACACCGAAUGGGUACUUGGGCUUAAGUGUGUGCCGCCUUUGACAACAAUGGCUGAACGUAAACUUUAUGUAGAAACGAGCUGAGCAAUUUUAACCUUUGAGAUUGACUUGGGUUGCUAAGAUAGCAAACAGAACACAAGGGAGUAAGACACUGGGGGUCCUUUAUGGGCUUCAUUUAUUUCAGCCUUACUGCAUCUACUAUAUGCUAUUUCAACAUUCUUCUCAAACUAGUUGUUUUUCUUAUUGGAGCAUAUAUAUGAGAUGGCUAAUUUAGUAGGAAGAAGUGGUGUUAUUGCAGCUUCUUUGUUUUGUGCAUUAGUGAUUAUUAGUUGUGAAUUCAAGUCAACAACAAAAAAAAGAGUAUGUUACCUUCAA
Long non-coding RNA from Solanum dulcamara, 696 nucleotides. RefSeq lists it as uncharacterized. The transcript is spliced from 3 exons. Lineage: Eukaryota; Viridiplantae; Streptophyta; Magnoliopsida; Solanales; Solanaceae. The record is from RefSeq and is a predicted model, not a curated record.